This 317-nucleotide long non-coding RNA is filed under the name Salvia miltiorrhiza (redroot sage). RNAcentral describes it as "long non-coding RNA (SMIL_LNC000908)". Lineage: Eukaryota; Viridiplantae; Streptophyta; Magnoliopsida; Lamiales; Lamiaceae. The record is from RNAcentral.
ACAUAUUCAAUUGGUGAGUAUAUUAUACAUGUUUGGGACAACAAGGAGUUGUAAAAAAUUACUUUUAAAUUGGAUUUGGGACGAGUACACAUGCACGCACAUUCUAGAUGAGUUUGAGUGGUUGAACUUGAUCACUAUUUUAAUAUCAACAAAAAUACCGCAACUAACAUAGUGAAAUCGUAGUACUAAAUAGCAAGCAAAGUAUCGUAUCCUCAAGCAAAAACACUCCAAGUAAUCCUAAUAAAUUGUCAAGCAAUAUUCAGGAAACUCAAAUAUGAUGAGUACUCAAAACUAGACUAAAAAAAACAAAUAAAAAU